This 691-nucleotide long non-coding RNA is filed under the name Arabidopsis lyrata. RNAcentral's name for it is "long non-coding RNA (ALYR_LNC001606)". Lineage: Eukaryota; Viridiplantae; Streptophyta; Magnoliopsida; Brassicales; Brassicaceae. The record is from RNAcentral.
CUGGUUUUGAUUCUUCUUCGUCUUCUUCAUCAACCUCUAGGAGACUCGUGUAGGUACGUACGUAGCUUUGAAUCUCUUCUUGCGUAACCUAAAAUCUUGUAGAUUCCUCUUGAGAGUGAAGCAUUCUCGAGUGAAGAAAUCGCUUGUUUCUCUCGUUUUCUUUCUUCUGUACUGAUUUCAACGCAAACAACAAGCAAUAAGAUCAAGAUCUUACCUGAAUCAAUCACUACAUAGAGCUAUCUAUUUUGCUUUUGAUUACGAUUUUAGACUCAAACUUGUAUUUGAUUUAGUGACAUUUGUUGUUGUCUUUUUGCUUCGUAGCAUUGAGUUUAGCUUAGGAUUGGCUUUUAAUAGAGUUUCUAUUUGAGUGGAAUUGUCAUAUAGAAUUGAUGUCUAGUUAGUGUUUGAUGAAAUUCCUCUGAGAGUGUGUAAUAAGCUUUCUUCUUCAAGAUUGGUAGAUUUGAUAAAUAUUUUUUUUUGGUUUUUCAAGAAUCUGUUAGUUUAAUUGCUUGUGGUUGUAGAUAAAAUGUCACAGAAUGCUUGAUUGGCAUGCUUCUAUGAAUGGCUUCGGGGAGGAGAGAAGGCCAUGCUUGAUUGGCAUGCUUCUGUGACCAAAGAUUCUACUAACAAGGACCAGAAUCCACAAAUGCAGUCUCCUCCAUCACUUGAGGAACCAGAUCCAAAGAGACAA